GUAAAGUAAUGAUGCUUCAAUGCA
RNAcentral lists this non-coding RNA (24 nucleotides) under Arabidopsis thaliana (thale cress). The record is from RNAcentral. Lineage: Eukaryota; Viridiplantae; Streptophyta; Magnoliopsida; Brassicales; Brassicaceae.